CCUACGGGGGGCAGCAGUGAGGAAUAUUGGGCAAUGGGCGCAAGCCUGACCCAGCAACGCCGCGUGAAGGAAGAAGGCUUUCGGGUUGUAAACUUCUUUUGACAGGGAAGAGUAGAAGACGGUACCUGUCGAAUAAGCCACGGCUAACUACGUGCCAGCAGCCGCGGUAAUACGUAGGUGGCAAGCGUUGUCCGGAUUUACUGGGUGUAAAGGGCGUGUAGCCGGGUUGACAAGUCAGAUGUGAAAUCCUGCGGCUUAACCGCAGAACUGCAUUUGAAACUGUUGAUCUUGAGUACUGGAGAGGCAGGCGGAAUUCCUGGUGUAGCGGUGAAAUGCGUAGAUAUUAGGAGGAACACCAGUGGCGAAGGCAGUCUGCUGGACAGCAACUGACGGUGAGGCGCGAAAGCGUGGGGAGCAAACAGGAUUAGAUACCCUUGUAGUC
This 442-nucleotide ribosomal RNA is filed under the name uncultured bacterium. RNAcentral's name for it is "partial 16S ribosomal RNA". It matches the Rfam family "Bacterial small subunit ribosomal RNA", at positions 338 to 795 of the family's 1533-position model. The record is from RNAcentral.